RNAcentral lists this ribosomal RNA (253 nucleotides) under uncultured bacterium. RNAcentral's name for it is "partial 16S ribosomal RNA". It matches the Rfam family "Bacterial small subunit ribosomal RNA", at positions 524 to 776 of the family's 1533-position model. The record is from RNAcentral.
UACGGAGGGAGCUAGCGUUGUUCGGAAAUACUGGGCGUAAAGCGCGCGUAGGCGGCCCCGUAAGUCCGCUGUGAAAGUCAAAGGCUCAACCUUUGAAAGCCGGUGGAUACUGUGGGGCUAGAGUCCGGAAGAGGCGAGUGGAAUUCCUGGUGUAGCGGUGGAAUGCGCAGAUAUCGGGAGGAACACCAAUGGCGAAGGCAGCUCGCUGGGACGGUACUGACGCUGAGGCGCGAAAGCUAGGGGAGCAAACGGG